UACGAAGGGGGCUAGCGUUGUUCGGAAUUACUGGGCGUAAAGGGCGCGUAGGCGGCCGUUUAAGUUAGGUGUGAAAGUCCUGGGCUCAACCUGGGGACUGCACUUAAUACUGGAUGGCUUGAAUUCGGGAGAGGAUAGCGGAAUUCCCAGUGUAGAGGUGAAAUGCGCAGAUAUCAGGAGGAACACCAAUUGCGAAGGCAGCUCGCUGGGACGUGACUGACGCUGAGACGCGAAAGCGUGGGGAGCAAACAGG
RNAcentral lists this ribosomal RNA (253 nucleotides) under uncultured bacterium. RNAcentral describes it as "partial 16S ribosomal RNA". It matches the Rfam family "Bacterial small subunit ribosomal RNA", at positions 524 to 776 of the family's 1533-position model. The record is from RNAcentral.